UAAAUAGUAAACUUUUUAGGUGCCCAUUAGGGAGAAUAGGGAAUCAGGUGAAAAUCCUGCAGCGGACCCGCCACUGUAAGCAGGAAGUUUCCCACAAUUGCCACUGAAAGUUAUAAGCUUUUGGGAAGGCGUGGGUAAGCACUGAACUGCAAGCCAGGAGACCUGCCUAAAAUGUUUAUAAGAU
Molecule: non-coding RNA, 184 nt
Filed under: Tepidanaerobacter acetatoxydans
Lineage: Bacteria; Bacillati; Bacillota; Clostridia; Thermosediminibacterales; Tepidanaerobacteraceae
Also listed under: 1 other name
Source: RNAcentral